AGCACGUUAUGGUGGGCACUCUAAGGAGGACUGCCGGUGACAAACCGGAGGAAGGUGGGGAUGACGUCAAGUCAUCAUGGCCCUUACGGCCUGGGCUACACACGUGCUACAAUGGUCGGUACAAAGGGUUGCCAAGCCGCGAGGUGGAGCUAAUCCCAUAAAACCGAUCGUAGUCCGGAUCGCAGUCUGCAACUCGACUGCGUGAAGUUGGAAUCGCUAGUAAUCGUGGAUCAGCAUGCCACGGUGAAUACGUUCCCGGGCCUU
Molecule: ribosomal RNA, 264 nt
Filed under: uncultured Pseudomonas sp.
Lineage: Bacteria; Pseudomonadati; Pseudomonadota; Gammaproteobacteria; Pseudomonadales; Pseudomonadaceae
Description: partial 16S ribosomal RNA
Rfam family: Bacterial small subunit ribosomal RNA
Source: RNAcentral